RNAcentral lists this ribosomal RNA (392 nucleotides) under uncultured bacterium. Its description in RNAcentral is "partial 16S ribosomal RNA". It matches the Rfam family "Bacterial small subunit ribosomal RNA", at positions 523 to 918 of the family's 1533-position model. The record is from RNAcentral.
AUACGGAGGAUGCGAGCGUUAUCCGGAUUUAUUGGGUUUAAAGGGUGCGCAGGCGGCCAUUUAAGUCAGCGGUUAAAUCGUGGGGCUCAACCCCAUUCUGCCGUUGAUACUGGGUGGCUUGAUUGCGGUCGAGGUUGGCGGAAUUCGUUGUGUAGCGGUGAAAUGCAUAGAUAUGACGAAGAACACCGAUUGCGUAGGCAGCUGACCAGACCGCAAAUGACGCUCAUGCACGAAGGUGCGGGGAUCGAACAGGAUUAGAUACCCUGGUAGUCCGCACAGUAAACGAUGAAUACUUGUUUUCGGCGAUAUAAUGUCGGAGGCAAAGCGAAAGCGAUAAGUAUUCCACCUGGGGAGUACGCCGGCAACGGUGAAACUCAAAUGAAUUGGCGGGG